UGGGGAAUAUUGCACAAUGGGCGCAAGCCUGAUGCAGCCAUGCCGCGUGUAUGAAGAAGGCCUUCGGGUUGUAAAGUACUUUCAGCGGGGAGGAAGGGAGUAAAGUUAAUACCUUUGCUCAUUGACGUUACCCGCAGAAGAAGCACCGGCUAACUCCGUGCCAGCAGCCGCGGUAAUACGGAGGGUGCAAGCGUUAAUCGGAAUUACUGGGCGUAAAGCGCACGCAGGCGGUUUGUUAAGUCAGAUGUGAAAUCCUCGGGCUCAACCUGGGAACUGCAUCUGAUACUGGCAAGCUUGAGUCUCAUAGAGGGGGGUAGAAUUCCAGGUGUAGCGGUGAAAUGCGUAGAGAUCUGGAGGAAUACCGGUGGCGAAGGCGGCCCCCUGGACGAAGACUGACGCUCAGGUGCGAAAGCGUGGGGAGCAAACAGG
RNAcentral lists this ribosomal RNA (429 nucleotides) under Chloroflexota bacterium. RNAcentral's name for it is "Chloroflexi bacterium partial 16S ribosomal RNA". It matches the Rfam family "Bacterial small subunit ribosomal RNA", at positions 355 to 776 of the family's 1533-position model. The record is from RNAcentral. Lineage: Bacteria; Bacillati; Chloroflexota.